RNAcentral lists this ribosomal RNA (184 nucleotides) under uncultured bacterium. RNAcentral describes it as "partial 16S ribosomal RNA". It matches the Rfam family "Bacterial small subunit ribosomal RNA", at positions 1307 to 1500 of the family's 1533-position model. The record is from RNAcentral.
GCAACUCGCCUACAUGAAGUCGGAGUUGCUAGUAAUCGCGGAUCAGAAUGCCGCGGUGAAUGCGUUCCCGGGUCUUGUACACACCGCCCGUCACACCAUGGAAGUUGGGGGCGCCCGAAGUUGCCUAAGAAAUAAGGUACCUAAGGCGAAACCAAUGACUGGGGUGAAGUCGUAACAAGGUAGC